Non-coding RNA from Gossypium hirsutum (cotton), 135 nucleotides. The record is from Rfam. NCBI's taxonomy places the organism in Eukaryota, Viridiplantae, Streptophyta, Magnoliopsida, Malvales, Malvaceae.
UGUUAAAAAUUUUUUUCAUUAAUUUCUACCGUUAAAAAUUGACGUGACUAAAGAAAUAACUAGACAUAAAUGCAUACCUCUUGUUGACAUAAAGGGAUCAAUUUUUAACAGUAGAAAUUGAUAAAAUUUUUAACA